AGUUUUUAGACUUGUACUUUCUCCUUUCCUCUCUUACAAGAAUGGGCAACUCACUUUGCUGUAAAUUAAGGGUUGGAGUUGUACACUUUGCUUCAGUAUACGAACACAUUAACUUGUUGCAGCAUGGGAGAACUUAUCUGCGACAUGAUGUUGUCGAAGUCGGCUACAUCAAAUUCAAGCAGCCCUAAACAUCAAAUUCAAGCCUUGGUCCACCUUGCUACACCAAAGAGAUGUUUUAUACUUUGGAUCAGAGGCAUGCUUUUUGUCAUAUUGAUCAAGGGACCGUUGAACGCAGUAUUGACCAUGUGUAUUUAUUACCUGAAAUUAAACAAGCA
RNAcentral lists this long non-coding RNA (335 nucleotides) under Malus domestica (apple). RNAcentral describes it as "long non-coding RNA (MDOM_LNC002170)". The record is from RNAcentral. Lineage: Eukaryota; Viridiplantae; Streptophyta; Magnoliopsida; Rosales; Rosaceae.